CGCGGGGUGGAGAAGAGGUAUCUCGUCGGGCUCAUAACCCGAAGAUCGGGGGUUCGAAUCCCCCCCCCGCCA
This 72-nucleotide transfer RNA is filed under the name Bacteroidota bacterium. RNAcentral's name for it is "Bacteroidetes bacterium tRNA-Met". It matches the Rfam family "tRNA". Rfam says of the family: Transfer RNA (tRNA) molecules are approximately 80 nucleotides in length. Their secondary structure includes four short double-helical elements and three loops (D, anti-codon, and T loops). The record is from RNAcentral. RNAcentral also lists the same sequence under 1 other name. Lineage: Bacteria; Pseudomonadati; Bacteroidota.